GAUGAAGAACGUAGCGAAAUGCGAUAAGUAAUGUGAAUUGCAGAAUUCAGUGAAUCAUCGAAUCUUUGAACGCACAUUGCGUCCGCCAGUAUUCUGGCGGGCAUGCCUGUUCGAGCGUCAUUUCAACCAUCAAGCCCCCGGCUUGUGUUGGGGACCUGCGGCUGCCGCAGGCCCUGAAAACCAGUGGCGGGCUCGCUAGUCACUCCGAGCGUAGUAAUACAUCUCGCUCAGGGCGUGCUGCGGGUUCCGGCCGUUAAAAAGCCUUAUUUACCCAAGGUUGACCUCGGAUCAGGUAGGAAGACCCGCUGAACUUAAGCAUAUCAAUAAGCGGAGGA
RNAcentral lists this unclassified non-coding RNA (335 nucleotides) under soil metagenome. RNAcentral describes it as "partial contains 5.8S ribosomal RNA, internal transcribed spacer 2, and large subunit ribosomal RNA". The stretch from base 1 to 120 matches the Rfam family "5.8S ribosomal RNA", at positions 35 to 154 of the family's 154-position model. The record is from RNAcentral.